Molecule: ribosomal RNA, 420 nt
Filed under: Triticum aestivum (bread wheat)
Lineage: Eukaryota; Viridiplantae; Streptophyta; Magnoliopsida; Poales; Poaceae
Description: partial small subunit ribosomal RNA
Source: RNAcentral
AUGUCGGACAUGGGGAGGGUGAAGGUGACGGCGUGGAACCCCCUGGAGGUGUACCAAUCGGCAUAUCUCUUCAGAUGCUUCUGCUUCGAGCCCAGCCAGCCGAGCAAAACCACCACCGUCUGGGACCUGUCAGGCGAGCCGCCGCACGCCCUCGGGUCCGGCAGGUGCCAGCGGUACAGAACAUCCGAGGAGGAGGAAGGGAUGGCCGGGAGCGAGAGUACGUCUUCGGGGAGCCUGUGGUGGUGGGAGAAUUUGUCGGGCAGCUCGAUGGAGGAGACGGCGGCGAAGGCGGCCACCGCCAUGGCGGAGAGGGGCCGGUGGAAGGAUGCCGUCGUGUGUGAGGCCUUCCUCCGCAUCCAACCCCACUUCGGGCGGUGGCCCAAAGUCUUUAACGUGAAGCCGAAGGUGGUGGAUGGCUAG